UUGAUUUGAUAUAAAUAAAAAAGACCCUCACAAGUCACAACCUAUCUUCCUCCCUUGUAUUUCUCGGUUUCUCCAUCAACCUUUCUCUUUCUCUUGAAUUUGCACCUCGACACCUCUUUUUCACCGCUACCCCCUUCUCGCUCCUAGUGCUGCACUAUAGCCCCCGUUCACCGCAGCCUACCUCCAUCGCAACCUGUGCUCCAAACCAAAUAUGUAUAAAACACUCCGUGCUCCAGUGAUUGCCACCUCCAAAGAGGCAAAGAUAGCGAUUGGCACCUCUAGGCUUCCAUCAUCGGCGGCUUCUAUCUUAAAGUUUAGGUUCGGCUUCCAUCAUCGUUCCCUCUCCCUUUCCAUUAUUAACAAGAAGUUGAGUAGCUAACCUUAGGGUUUCAAUUCCUUCUCUCUAAUCGUUUUGAUGAUUUCUUAAAUUGACGUUUAAUUUGCCAUUUAACAUGUUUAAUUUCAUUAUUUUCAUACUCAAUUUUACAUGCAUCUGAAUUGGUUGAAGUAUUUUGAUGAAAUUGGGAUUUUUGUUUUUUCUUCUUUUCAUUUAUUGCUGAUUUGAUUUACCUUGUAAUUUAAUCUUUGUUGACUAAUCUAACCAAUUUAAGGUUUAUAUUUUUCUUUUCUGAAUUUAAUCUUCUUAAGUUUGUCAAGGAUCCAAGUAAUUGUGGGCAGAAAUCAAAGGCAAUGCUAGUUACAAUCGGAGGAAUAAUAUUUGAUGUUCAAUCUAAUGCAUGCCGCUAUUCCUGCUACUGUCAAAACCACCACUCUUAGGUUUGCUAUUUUAUUUUUAGUUUGAUUUUUUUAUAUAUUAAUCUCUAAUUAUUGAAUUGGGUUAAUUUUAUUUGUUUGAGUUAAUUAACAUUCUAGCGUCAAUACUUGUGUCAAGCUUUGACGAUGUUAGUCGAAUUAAGUGAUGGCUGAAUAUCUACAUUGAUUUAUGGAAUUCCUUGAUUUAUUGAAUUUGUAUUCUAGAAAUUUGAGAAAAUUUCCGAUAUAAUUUCAUAAAUUAUGGACUUAUGACAUUUUAGCUAUUAUUGACGAUGUCAAUUCUCUAUUUGAUAUAAAUGGACUAAUUGAUGAGCUUUUAGCAAACAAGAUCUUGAUGGUUUUUCUGUUAAUCCUGGUGAUUAUAUUGUGAAUUAUUUGUUGAUUUAUAUUUUUGACUUGGACAAUUGACAUUAUAGAAUGAGGUGACCAAUUUUAUAUAUGUGACCAAUUUUAGGUUUAUAUAUAUAUAUGACCAAUUUUGAGUUCAAAUCUUAUUGAAUUAGACUCACAUUUCAUUUCUACAAAGCAGUGAUGAAUGACACUUAAUGCAAGCAAAUCCAUAUUAGUUAGAUACAAGAGUAGAGCAGUCAAGACAGAGGUUGCAAAUAUAAUUAUGCAAUACCUUGACUAUUUGGUUAAUUCAUCGUGCCCUUACCUACAGUGGAUUGGUGAGCUUGGUGAUUUGUCUAUUUAGUUAAUUCAUCUUGCCCUUACCUACAGUGGAUUGGUGAGAUUGGAGGUAAGAGUUCAAUGUAGAUAAUUGAUUUGUCUUCAUGCCUUAAUUGUGUAUUCAACUCUCACAUUUGAAUUCAUAAAAAAGAGUUUUAUGAGGAAAGAAAAAAAGAGCAUUUAAAUUAAAUAAAACAAAGAUGACUUUAUACUUAAAUUACCCCAACCCCCCCCCCCCCCUUCUACGAAUAUAGAGAGCAUCUCUUGUUUGUUAUAUAUUUGCUAUUGACAAGUAAGUACUUCUAGAAAUUGUGAAUUUUAUAGCCUCUUUUGUAGUUCAAUGCUUGUCCUGGUGUAAGGGAUAUUUUACCUUAUAACUCCAAAUUAAUUGUAUAGUGGCUACAUACAUAUCAUGAAUCAUUGUACUUGUUCUUUAUAUAGCUCUUGUUUUUCUUUCAAACCUAAACUGUCUUAUAUUUUUAAGCUUUAUGAAUCAUGAAUUUCAUUCUAGACUUUUCCGUUAUCUUUUUGCCUUUUUUCUUUUGGUCAAGGUUUGGACGGACUAUGGACUAGUGGGAAUGUUUGAUACGUUGAGUAAAAGAAAGUGAUUAUAUUUUUUGAAACUAAUUUCUCAUUUUAUUUCUUUCCAUUUUUACAGUUUUGAUGCUUAUAUCUUCUAAAAAAAUUUCCACUUUUGGCUUAUAUUAAUUCUGUAAAUUUGAUGCUGCAGUUUUGAUGCUUAUAUUUUCUGGAAAUAAUCUUCAAAUUCCCACAGAUGAUUAGGAUCACAUAGUUUGUUAUUUGUAGCCUGACAACCUGAUAUUAGGUAUAGGUCGGAUGCCAGGGCUAUUUCCGACAUUAAUCAUAACUCUUAUGAUGCCAUAUUGCCAUGAGAACUUCCUUAAUGCAUGUGACUUGUUGAAAGUAUAUAUAAAGUCUACUCUUAUACUCUUAGUUCCAAUAUUCAUUGUAUAAUUUUUUACCAUUUGGGUUGUGAUAUCAAUAUUUUUAAUAGUCUCUUUCUUGCCAUUUAGAAAUUUAAUGUAGUAACAUUUAUUUUCUUUGUACUAUUUUCUUAAAACAAUUAUUUCUUGUUCUAGGGAGAUUGAAUGGUAUGACAAAGUAAAGUGUGAAAAGUAGCUGGGUUUCAGCAAGGGUUCUUUGGCAAGAAAGAGGGAAAGGAAUAUUGGCUGGUAAAAUAACAAUGGGUCUCCUCGUCUGUUUUUGUUAGAUAAAUAAAAAUUUUCUUUCUUUAUUUAUGUGUGGAUAUUGCUAAAGUGGAGUAAGAGAAAGUGGGAGAAGAAAAUGAAAUUGUGGUGUUGUUUGAUAACGGUAGUUCGUGAGUUGCUGCUACUCAAUUUGAGUGUUUAUGGGUAUGCUUUCUUUUCAUAUUUACUCUCAUUUAUAUUAAAUUUAGAGUCAAAAUUUCACAUACUUAUUAGACUCUAUUAUUGAUUUGGUUAUUUUGAUCUGGUUGUAUAGGUUAGGAUAUUUUGGAUUUUUAAAUGUUACAAGGCUUGGUUAAUGAUAGAUAAGUAUAUACUAACAUGAAUAAUUCUAUAAUUGGAAUGUUAUUUUUAGACAGUCGUGAAUAGAAAAAGAACGAUUAUGAAAAUUUUUCUAUUCUAUAUUUUGUUUGAAUUGAUGCAUAAAUUUUAUGUUCUGGGUUUUCUCUAGCAUAAUAACCCUACAUUAUUUUGUGUCCAGGAUCAAUAUGUUAGUUAAGGUCUCAAUUACUUAGCUCAUUAAUUUAUGUAUAUGUUUCUUGACCUCUCGUGCAAAUGAAGCUUUAAUGGCUGUCACAUUAUAUGUAGACAAUCAUUAUCCUGAAUAACCAGGUUAUACAGGGUUCAGUGUCGCCAAUGGAUCACGUAAGAAUGUAAGCAGUUGGUUCAGUGUCGCCAUUGGAUCAUGUAAGAAUGAACUCAACAUGGCUAAAGAUAGAACAUGUGCAACUCCUUAUAUGAGAUUGCAUUGGUGGAUCAUGUCUUUCUUUUCAUGAUGCCUUGUCUAAAGCAAAGAGUUGUAUGCUGCUGUUGCUGUCAUUGUUACUGCUGACUACUGCUGUUACGGUGAUCUGCUGUUGUAAUUGAUGUCUGCUACUACAACCGAGCUAGCUACAAGAUGCUACUGUCUUCAAUUAUUAAUGAUGUUUGUUUGCAACUACGCUGAUUGUGAUUUUGCCUAUUCUGUUUGGAAUUUGGUGGCAAAGUUGAUAUUUUAUUUUUAUUUUUUAUUAUUAGAUUGUUUAGCGAGAUAAAAAAUUGGUGUUUAUGGUUUUUUUUUGGAAGGAUAUAUGAAAUUUUAUCAA
This is a long non-coding RNA of Chenopodium quinoa (quinoa), 3754 nucleotides long. RefSeq lists it as uncharacterized. The record is from RefSeq and is a predicted model, not a curated record. The transcript has 2 exons. NCBI's taxonomy places the organism in Eukaryota, Viridiplantae, Streptophyta, Magnoliopsida, Caryophyllales, Amaranthaceae.